GUGCUCGCUUUGGCAGCGCAUAUACUAAAAUUGGAGCAAUACAGAGAAGAUUAGCAUGUCCUAUAAGAUUAUUCCAAUAAUUAUUUAAAGUAGCUCAUGCAC
Varanus komodoensis (Komodo dragon) is the source of this 102-nucleotide small nuclear RNA. The record is from Ensembl. NCBI's taxonomy places the organism in Eukaryota, Metazoa, Chordata, Lepidosauria, Squamata, Varanidae.